UAUCGCUAUGCAACAGUGGCUUUCAGGAUUUGCCCUCACAAUUGUGGCAAUUCCUUUUGCUGUUGUCGGCGCUCAGUCCGCAUGCAGUGGCAUUAGUUGUAGCAACAAUUUCAAAGGCCGGCGCGAAAAGUUCGGAAUCAGCGCAUGUACUGCAUCGCUAUAGAGUUGUUUAAAGUAUUUCGAGUGCUCGGCUUAUAAUAUUUAAUACCUUUUACAGCGAAAUAGCAAUGAAAGUCUAAAUGGAAUGCUCCCCUCCACCCUUUUGUGUGGACUCAGCAGAAACGAACGAAAAAACGAAAUUUUUUGAUUAAUUUUAUAUAACACGCAAACAUUGGCGUAAGCCUUCAGCAAACAAUAACAACAAAAACGUACUUAUGUGAGUGUGCUAUAUAAUUCUAUAACUGUGUAUAAUAAAACAGCUUUUACGCAAAAGUUUGCCGAGCAGAGUUUGUAUAAAGUUUGAUAGACUAUAAAUUUCUAAACAAACUUACAACAACAAUACAUGAAUUGAUAGUCAGCAAAAACCGAGAGGAAACGGCGCUAAUCCCAACGCGAUGCAACCUCGUGAAAUCCCGUUAAAUUUUUAAUUGAAAUUGGCAAACGAGAUUUAUUUAUGCAACACGACAAUUCAUUUUGGACAUAAUGUUAAUGAUAUUAAAAGUGGCAGGAUUGGCAAAUAACCUUCGGCCAUAAUUAUGGCAAGCGAAAACUAUACAUUAGUGUACUUCUUUCGAUCAGGAGUCAGUUUGGGGAGUUCUACCCUUUCGAAGUUUAAAACUUGUUCCCGAAAUUACUUAAAUUUCCAUCCAAUUUAAUGUUGCAAUUUUGUAUUUAGUAAAUACUCAAAUAAACUCCGAGCUCGUGACCAGUUUA
Long non-coding RNA from Zeugodacus cucurbitae (melon fly), 873 nucleotides. RefSeq lists it as uncharacterized. The transcript is spliced from 2 exons. The record is from RefSeq and is a predicted model, not a curated record. Lineage: Eukaryota; Metazoa; Arthropoda; Insecta; Diptera; Tephritidae.